AGGUUUCGGCCUUAGUGGCGGACGGGUGAGUAACGCGUAGGAAUCUAUCCAUGGGUGGGGGAUAACACUGGGAAACUGGUGCUAAUACCGCAUGAUACCUGAGGGUCAAAGGCGCAAGUCGCCUGUGGAGGAGCCUGCGUUCGAUUAGCUAGUUGGUGGGGUAAAGGCCUACCAAGGCGAUGAUCGAUAGCCGGUUUGAGAGGAUGAUCAGCCACACUGGGACUGAGACACGGCCCAGACUCCUACGGGAGGCAGCAGUGGGGAAUAUUGGACAAUGGGGGCAACCCUGAUCCAGCAAUGCCGCGUGUGUGAAGAAGGUCUUCGGAUUGUAAAGCACUUUCGACGGGGACGAUGAUGACGGUACCCGUAGAAGAAGCCCCGGCUAACUUCGUGCCAGCAGCCGCGGUAAUACGAAGGGGGCUAGCGUUGCUCGGAAUGACUGGGCGUAAAGGGCGUGUAGGCGGUUUUGACAGUCAGAUGUGAAAUCCCCGGGCUUAACCUGGGAGCUGCAUUUGAGACGUUAAGACUAGAGUGUGAGAGAGGGUUGUGGAAUUCCCAGUGUAGAGGUGAAAUUCGUAGAUAUUUGGGAAGAACACCGGUGGCGAUGGCGGCAACCUGGCUCAUUUACUGACGCUGAGGCGCGAAAGCGUGGGGGAGCAAACAGGA
This 666-nucleotide ribosomal RNA is filed under the name uncultured Acetobacter sp. RNAcentral's name for it is "bacterial SSU rRNA". It matches the Rfam family "Bacterial small subunit ribosomal RNA", at positions 81 to 777 of the family's 1533-position model. The record is from RNAcentral. Lineage: Bacteria; Pseudomonadati; Pseudomonadota; Alphaproteobacteria; Acetobacterales; Acetobacteraceae.